RNAcentral lists this long non-coding RNA (321 nucleotides) under Dermacentor andersoni. RNAcentral describes it as "uncharacterized LOC126517503". The record is from RNAcentral. Lineage: Eukaryota; Metazoa; Arthropoda; Arachnida; Ixodida; Ixodidae.
AUUUAUUCUCCUGCAGCUUCUUGAUUGUCUCACCAGCCGUGAAAUAAUGCCUCUGUGCUGGCACAUAGCGUUUUCUUUCUUUUUAUAUGUAUUUUGUGUUGAGGUGCAGCAUCGCCAGUGGCCUCUUUCUGUUUCAGCUGUACUGUACAGACCAGCAUCUAUACCGUUUGAGAGAAGGCAGGUAGAAGCACAAGUGCCUGAUGCUUUGCACAGGUCUGUAGCUACCCAUGCUGAAGCCCCAAGAUUAUACACAGACUUGCAAACUCAAGGUUCAGCCUACAGGCCAGUAUCCACAUCUCUUGCUGAAACUACAAGGCCAUG